Molecule: unclassified non-coding RNA, 333 nt
Filed under: soil metagenome
Description: partial contains 5.8S ribosomal RNA, internal transcribed spacer 2, and large subunit ribosomal RNA
Rfam family: 5.8S ribosomal RNA (bases 1-120)
Source: RNAcentral
GAUGAAGAACGUAGCAAAAUGCGAUAAGUAAUGUGAAUUGCAGAAUUCAGUGAAUCAUCGAAUCUUUGAACGCACAUUGCGCCCGCCAGUAUUCUGGCGGGCAUGCCUGUUCGAGCGUCAUUUCAACCCUCAAGCACAGCUUGGUGUUGGGACUCGCGUUAAUUCGCGUUCCUCAAAUUGAUUGGCGGUCACGUCGAGCUUCCAUAGCGUAGUAGUAAAACCCUCGUUACUGGUAAUCGUCGCGGCCACGCCGUUAAACCCCAACUUCUGAACGUUUGACCUCGGAUCAGGUAGGAAUACCCGCUGAACUUAAGCAUAUCAAUAAGCGGAGGA